RNAcentral lists this ribosomal RNA (497 nucleotides) under uncultured bacterium. RNAcentral's name for it is "partial 16S ribosomal RNA". It matches the Rfam family "Bacterial small subunit ribosomal RNA", at positions 28 to 507 of the family's 1533-position model. The record is from RNAcentral.
GAUGAACGCUGGCGGCGUGCCUAAUACAUGCAAGUCGAGCGAACAGAUGAGGAGCUUGCUCCUCUGACGUUAGCGGCGGACGGGUGAGUAACACGUGGAUAACCUACCUAUCAGACUGGGAUAACUUCGGGAAACCGGCGCUAAUACCGGAUAAUAUAUUGAACCGCAUGGUUCAAUAGUGAAAGACGGUUUUGCUGUCACUUAUAGAUGGAUCCGCGCCGCAUUAGCUAGUUGGUAAGGUAACGGCUUACCAAGGCAACGAUGCGUAGCCGACCUGAGAGGGUGAUCGGCCACACUGGAACGUAGACACGGUCCAGACUCCUACGGGAGGCAGCAGUAGGGAAUCGGCCGCAAUGGGCGAAAGCCUGACGGAGCAACGCCGCGUGAGUGAUGAAGGUCUUCGGAUCGUAAAACUCUGUUAUUAGGGAAGAACAAAUGUGUAAGUAACUAUGCACGUCUUGACGGUACCUAAUCAGAAAGCCACGGCUAACUACGUG